Molecule: ribosomal RNA, 490 nt
Filed under: uncultured bacterium
Lineage: Bacteria
Description: bacterial SSU rRNA
Rfam family: Bacterial small subunit ribosomal RNA
Source: RNAcentral
GAUGAACGCUAGCGGCAGGCUUAACACAUGCAAGUCGAGGGGUAACAGGAGUGCUUGCACUUGCUGACGACCGGCGCACGGGUGCGUAACGCGUAUACAAUCUGCCUUACACUGAGGGAUAGCCUUUGGAAACGAAGAUUAAUACCUCAUGGUAUAUAUGGAUGGCAUCAUUUAUAUAUUAAAGGUUACGGUGUAAGAUGAGUAUGCGUCCUAUUAGCUAGAUGGUGUGGUAACGGCAUACCAUGGCUACGAUAGGUAGGGGUCCUGAGAGGGAGAUCCCCCACACUGGUACUGAGACACGGACCAGACUCCUACGGGAGGCAGCAGUGAGGAAUAUUGGACAAUGGGCGAGAGCCUGAUCCAGCCAUGCCGCGUGAAGGAUGACUGCCCUAUGGGUUGUAAACUUCUUUUAUAUAGGAAGAAACACUUCUACGUGUAGAAGCUUGACGGUACUAUAUGAAUAAGCACCGGCUAACUCCGUGCCAGCAGG